GCCGCGUCCGCUACUCCCGGCCGACGCGUGCACCGAGUCUGGACGCCUCCGCGACGUGAGCAAGCUGCACCUGCGCAGUUCGAGCCGGCCGAUCCAGGUCCGGGCUGGAUUCGGUGGCGGGGGCGGUGGGUCCGAUGGCCUGAGAGGGCUGGGCGGGUGCGAGUUCUGGGUCGCAAGGACGGAGGAUUAAGGAGCGUGGCAGAGACGACGCGAAAGGGACGAGGCAAGAAGCAGCCGUCGGCCCGGCGCCCGCGGCGAGUAGUCCCAGGAUGCUCCGCGCCGCACCGCGCCUGGCCCCGGACUCCGUUUCCCAGCAGCCACUGCGGCUGGCGCCGACAGCCUGCCCGAGCGCUUUGGCCCCUUUGUGAGUCCGCCCGUCGGGCCAGAGAUCGAGUCCACGCCCCGGCCGCAGGGCGCUCGGCUCCCCGUCUCCGCGAACGGUGCGGAACGAAGUGCCGACUCUCGGGGAGAAGGCGCUCUGUUUUCGCUGGACUCUGCCCUUCUCCCAAAGAGAAGCCGGAAGGAGGAGGACAGAAGGGCUGUCCUAAAUUCUUAAAGCCAUGUCCGAGGAUUUGGUGACAUUUGGGGAUGUGGCUGUAGAUUUCUCUCAAGAGGAGUGGGAAUGGCUGAACCCUGCUCAGAGGAAUUUGUACAGGAAAGUGAUGUUGCAGAACUAUAGGAGCCUGGUAUCACUGGGAGUUUCAGUUUCUAAGCCAGAUGUGAUCUCAUUAUUGGAGCAAGGAAAAGAGCCCUGGAUGGUGAAGAAGGAGGGGACAAGAGGAGCAUGCCCUGAUAUUGCACUUUUUACAAAUUGAAGUUUUGUGGUGACCCUGCGUUGUCAGAUGAUGAUUGGGAGUAUGCAUUUAAAAACAAUGAAUUUUCAUCAAAGCAAGUUAUUUAUGAGGAAUCAUCCAAAGUAAGGACAAUGGGAAGAAGCCAUCUUAGUUAUAACCUUGACUGCUCCAGUUUGAGAGAAGACUCUAAAACUGAGGACUGGUUUAAGAACCACUUGGGAAGUCAGGAGAUACAUUCUAGUCAAUUGAUCAUCACUCAUAAAGAAAUCCAGAGUAAAGAUCAAAGUAAUGAAUAUACUAAAUCUUGGCAAACUUUCCAUCAGGAUGCAAUCUUUGAUAUAAAGCAGAGUUUUCCCACCAAAGAAAGAAUACAUAAGCAUGACCCAAGAAAGAGAAGCUACCGGAAAAAAUCUGUUGAAAUGAAACGUAAGAAAGUCUAUGUAGAAAAGAAACUUUUGAAAUGUAAUGAAUGUGAGAAGGUUUUCAACCAGAGCUCAUCUCUCACUCUUCAUCAGAGAAUUCACACUGGAGAGAAACCAUAUGCAUGUGUUGAAUGUGGGAAAACCUUCAGCCAGAGUGCAAACCUAGCUCAACAUAAGAGAAUACAUACUGGAGAGAAACCCUAUGAAUGUAAAGAAUGUAGGAAAGCCUUCAGCCAGAAUGCCCAUCUUGCUCAACAUCAGAGAGUUCAUACUGGAGAGAAACCUUAUCAGUGUAAAGAAUGUAAAAAAGCCUUCAGCCAGAUUGCACACCUGACUCAACAUCAGAGGGUUCAUACUGGGGAAAGACCUUUUGAAUGUAUUGAAUGUGGAAAGGCCUUUAGUAAUGGCUCAUUUCUUGCUCAGCAUCAGAGAAUUCACACAGGAGAGAAGCCUUAUGUAUGUAACGUGUGUGGGAAGGCCUUUAGCCAUCGGGGAUACCUAAUUGUACAUCAGAGAAUUCAUACCGGAGAGAGACCCUAUGAAUGUAAGGAAUGUAGGAAAACCUUCAGCCAGUAUGCACACCUGGCUCAACAUCAGAGAGUUCAUACUGGAGAGAAACCUUAUGAGUGUAAAGUAUGUAGGAAAGCCUUCAGCCAGAUUGCAUACCUUGAUCAACAUCAGAGGGUUCAUACUGGAGAGAAACCCUAUGAAUGUAUCGAAUGUGGGAAGGCCUUUAGCAAUAGUUCGUCACUUGCACAACAUCAGAGAAGUCAUACCGGAGAGAAACCUUACAUGUGUAAGGAAUGCAGGAAAACAUUUAGCCAGAAUGCAGGCCUUGCUCAACAUCAGCGAAUUCACACUGGAGAGAAACCUUACGAAUGUAACAUUUGUGGGAAAGCCUUUAGCUAUAGUGGAUCUCUUACUCUACAUCAAAGAAUUCAUACUGGGGAAAGACCCUAUGAAUGUAAGGAUUGCAGGAAAUCUUUCAGGCAGCGAGCACACCUUGCUCAUCAUGAGAGAAUUCAUACGAUGGAGUCAUUCUUGACUCUUUCCUCUCCCUCACCCUACGUGUCCAGUCAGUUGCCAAGACCUGUAGGUUCUAUCUCCUAAAUAUGCCUUGAAUCUGACUCUAAUUAAUUUCCAUUCUGUCAUCUUUGUCCAGUACACUACAAUCUAUUUGACAUCGACUAUGGAAAUAACUUUCUAAUUGAUCUCCCUGUGUUUACCAUUUCCUGCUAGUAGUGCAUAUUGCAGUCAAACUUGUGUUUAAAAAGUUUAAUCAUAUCACUUCUCCUUCAUUAAAACCCUUCAUUGGCAUCCCAUAGGUCUUAGGGCAAGGCACACAUUACUCAAAAUAGCCUAAAAGACCCCCAAACCCCCAAUACCUUGUUCCAGUCUACAUUUCAGAGUCCCAUCUCAUGUCAAUAUCCAUCUCAUUCUUUGGCUACUUAUCAACAUUAAGAAUUUAUAGUGCAGCAUCAAAUAGAUCUGGGUUCCAAUUCUUACUCUUCCAUUUUCUAGCUCUCUAGUUUUGGAGAAACAUUUUGUCCCUUGUAAGCUUCAGUUUUUUUAUUUAUAUUAUGGAAAUAAUAAUGGUACUACCUCAAGUUAAUGGGAGGAUUAAAUGAGAUAAUGCAUGUGAACUGCUCAGCAGAGUGCCUAGUAUAAAGUAAUCAGUAAACACUAAUGUAAAAUAAAAAGGUACUAUGAUAAAAAGAUCAUCUCAGCAAUGAUUAUCUGCGAAAUAACAAAGCAACCCAAAAGACUGUAAAGGUUUUUGAUUAGGAACAGCAGUCAUUGUUCUAAAGGUGGGUGAUAGUAUCCAGCACAGCAGAGUUAAUGUUGGAGUCCAUGAUGACAGAGUAAGAUGGGGGCUUCUGUUUCAACAUGAAUACACAGAGAUAUGAUUUUGUUGAUAAGAAAAACUAACUUCAUUAUAUAGUCAACAGUUUUAAGAAGCCAGGUGUUAAAAAUCACUUGUAAUACGUAAAAUUUACUGAGAUGUAUUCAUCAUUUGCAUUUAAACAAAGGCAAUAUAGUUUUUAAAAGAGAGAAAACUUUAAAAGAUCAAUAACCAAAGAAGAAGAGAAAGUAAAAUUUAACUCACCUCUCCUAAUUCCAGGUAGAUGAAUUGUAUUAAACCCAUGUCGUUUAAAUAGAAAAGUUGUUAAGCUUCUAAGCUGUAACUCCAAAACUAGAGGGAAAAGAAACCAAAACUAUAGGUCAAAACUCAUCAACAUGGAUAUGCAUCAAGUUUCAAAUGAAUAUGAAUACCUUUAGAUGGGCAUGUGUUUUCCAGUUCUCCACAAUUCAAACCGCUACCUGUUCCCUUACAUCUGACUUGUUUUACACUUUAUAUUACUUCCUGAAUCCUGAAGGCUUUGAGCAUGCAAUCAAUGCAGUAACCAGUUCUCUUGUGAACAUAAGUACAAAGAAAAUGACCAAAGUUUAAUGGAGGAUUAAAAGAAUAGACAUUUUAUCCUUCUGUAGGGGAAGACUCAGUAUUCUACAGAUGUUAGUAGGCCCCAAAUUAAUAGAUUCUUUGUACCUGACAAGACUUUUUUAAGGCUUGAAACAUUGUGUUUGUCAACAUACACACAUACACAUUGACAACAUACACACAUAAAGGAAAUAUAUAAUAAAGGUGAUAUUUCAUGUCAGUGGCUUAACAGUAUUGGUAAAUGAGAUUCUGCUCAAAAAAAUUAUUUCUGUACAAAACAAUCGCCUCAUUCUUUUAUCCAGAUGCAAAACAGACUCAUUAGAGGACACCGUAACAUGCUUUAUAAUCAUGGAGAACAAUCUUCCUAAAUACGACAUGAGAUCCAGAAGCCACACACACAAAGAUUCUAGGUGUGACUAUAUAAGAACUUUAAUAAGCUUUUAUAUAGUCAAAGAUAGUACAAACAAAAGGUUUUUAAACAUUAGAAUUGGAAAAAAAUCAUUAAAAUAUGUUUAACCUAUGAAGUUCGUAUCCUUAAGGUAAAAGUGCUCCUACGAGUCAUUUAGAAAAAUGACACCUCCUCCCCUCAUGGGCAAAAUGGUAUAAAGGCAACAGGUGACUGAUGAAAGUGGUAAGUACUGAAUCUCACAAGGAUCAGAACACAAGUUAAACAAAUGAACUACCAUGUUUCAAUAUCAGAUUGAUAAAAUUUGCAUUGCAAAAGCAUAGGAGAGGAGGUACUUCUGUGUACUGAUGUAAGGGUGUAUGAAUUUGUACAGUAUUUCUGAAAGGUAACUUGUCAGCAUCAAAAAUUUUCAUUGGGAAAAUCAAGGUUUUCUUUUGCAGUUAAACACAAGUUUAUCUUUCCUCCAUAUCCUAUUAAACAGAUAAAACAAUUUAAAAGGUAUCAGAAAAGAGCAGAAGUCAUCAGUGGAUGAAAGAAUCAAAUUUUAUAAAAGACAAAAGGGAAAAGAGUGCUUAUUCAUGAAAUGUUGCAGAAGAAG
Molecule: RNA transcript, 4660 nt
Organism: Balaenoptera musculus (blue whale)
Lineage: Eukaryota; Metazoa; Chordata; Mammalia; Artiodactyla; Balaenopteridae
Gene: ZNF583
Gene name: zinc finger protein 583
Exons: 6
Source: RefSeq, a predicted model, not a curated record